Molecule: long non-coding RNA, 524 nt
Organism: Neodiprion fabricii
Lineage: Eukaryota; Metazoa; Arthropoda; Insecta; Hymenoptera; Diprionidae
Exons: 3
Source: RefSeq, a predicted model, not a curated record
CGAAAAGGUCAACGGAAUUUCAUAAUGUUCCAGUUACAGUCGACUGUUUCCAAGAAUUUAAUUCGCACACUUUAUUAUACAUGUAGUAUUUGCGUAAAUAGCCGCUUAUCAGUAUAUUAUACCUUGUUUUCCAACUAACCGCAUUUGUUGCGCGAUUAAUACAACGACGCAAGGAAAAAUACAAUUGAUGCGGUAUUUGCUCGGGUACAUAUCUUUUCCUCGUACAGAGAACCGUGGACGUCUCUUUGAAUAUGGAGUGCAAAUGACUUUCAGUGAUCAAGAAUUAUUUCGAUAUUUGGUUAAUCUGGAGAUAAUUCGUUGUACAUACUUGGAACGCUUGGGACAAAUGAUGAACUCUACUCGCUUCAUGACGAUGAUGCCACUUCUCACGUCGAAGAUGCAUAUCAGAUUUUCCUCAACCGAUCGACCGGCGAUGAAACAUCGGGGGAAUAAUGGCACCUGAGGCGUGGGAGUAUCCUGUGCGGGUACCUGUUCCUACGUACAGUCCUGGAAUCACCAGGUUC